UUACAGUAUAAGAUGAUAUCCUG
This 23-nucleotide microRNA is filed under the name Oreochromis niloticus (Nile tilapia). RNAcentral's name for it is "oni-miR-144b". Its record names the gene oni-miR-144b. The record is from miRBase by way of RNAcentral. Lineage: Eukaryota; Metazoa; Chordata; Actinopteri; Cichliformes; Cichlidae.